GAGGUGGCUGAAUACCGAAUAUACCCUGCUGGUCGCAUGGCCUGGUGGGGGAAAGCUUUUGCGGUGUGGGAUGGGCCCGCGGCCUAUCAGCUUGUUGGUGGGGUGAUGGCCUACCAAGGCGACGACGGGUAGCCGGCCUGAGAGGGUGACCGGCCACACUGGGACUGAGAUACGGCCCAGACUCCUACGGGAGGCAGCAGUGGGGAAUAUUGCACAAUGGGCGCAAGCCUGAUGCAGCGACGCCGCGUGAGGGAUGACGGCCUUCGGGUUGUAAACCUCUUUCAGCACAGACGAAGCGCAAGUGACGGUAUGUGCAUAAGAAGGACCGGCCAACUACGUGCCAGCAGCCGCGGUAAUACGUAGGGUCCGAGCGUUGUCCGGAAUUACUGGGCGUAAAGAGCUCGUAGGUGGUUUGUCGCGUUGUUCGUGAAAACUCACAGCUUAACUGUGGGCGUGCGGGCGAUACGGGCAGACUAGAGUACUGCAGGGGAGACUGGAAUUCCUGGUGUAGCGGUGGAAUGCGCAGAUAUCAGGAGGAACACCGGUGGCGAAGGCGGGUCUCUGGGCAGUAACUGACGCUGAGGAGCGAAAGCGUGGGGAGCGAACAGGAUUAGAUACCCUGGUAGUCCACGCCGUAAACGGUGGGUACUAGGUGUGGGUUUCCUUCCUUGGGAUCCGUGCCGUAGCUCACGCAAUAAGUACCCCGCCUGGGGAGUACGGCCGCAAGGCUAACACUCAAAGGAAAUGACUGGGGGCCCGCUCACGCCGGGGGAGCAUGUGGAUUAAUUCGAUUGUUUCGCGAGAACCUAC
This 810-nucleotide ribosomal RNA is filed under the name Mycobacterium sp. B3(2012). RNAcentral describes it as "bacterial SSU rRNA". It matches the Rfam family "Bacterial small subunit ribosomal RNA", at positions 155 to 974 of the family's 1533-position model. Lineage: Bacteria; Bacillati; Actinomycetota; Actinomycetes; Mycobacteriales; Mycobacteriaceae. The record is from RNAcentral.